This 193-nucleotide microRNA precursor is filed under the name Oryza brachyantha (malo sina). RNAcentral describes it as "MIR812 microRNA precursor family". It matches the Rfam family "MIR812 microRNA precursor family". The record is from Rfam by way of RNAcentral. Lineage: Eukaryota; Viridiplantae; Streptophyta; Magnoliopsida; Poales; Poaceae.
AAUAAGAUUAUUUUUUAGUUUUUUUAUUCAAUGUUUUGACUAUUCGUCUUAUUUAAAAUUUUUGGGAUUAAUAUUUUUAUUCUUACCUAGAUGAUAAAAUAUAAAUAAUAUUUUAUGCGUGACUAUUUUAUUAAGUUUUUUAUAAAUUUUUCAAAUAAGACGAAUGGUCAACGUGGAAAAACGAAAAAUAAAG